AGUGAACGCUGGCGGUAGGCCUAACACAUGCAAGUCGAACGGCAGCACAGUAAGAGCUUGCUCUUACGGGUGGCGAGUGGCGGACGGGUGAGGAAUACAUCGGAAUCUACUUUUUCGUGGGGGAUAACGUAGGGAAACUGACGCUAAUACCGCAUACGACCUACGGGUGAAAGCAGGGGAUCUUCGGACCUUGCGCGAUUGAAUGAGCCGAUGUCGGAUUAGCUAGUUGGCGGGGUAAAGGCCCACCAAGGCGACGAUCCGUAGCUGGUCUGAGAGGAUGAUCAGCCACACUGGAACUGAGACACGGUCCAGACUCCUACGGGAGGCAGCAGUGGGGAAUAUUGGACAAUGGGCGCAAGCCUGAUCCAGCCAUACCGCGUGGGUGAAGAAGGCCUUCGGGUUGUAAAGCCCUUUUGUUGGGAAAGAAAAGCAGCAGGUUAAUACCCCGCUGUUCUGACGGUACCCAAAGAAUAAGCAACGGCUAACUUCGUG
RNAcentral lists this ribosomal RNA (492 nucleotides) under uncultured bacterium. RNAcentral's name for it is "partial 16S ribosomal RNA". It matches the Rfam family "Bacterial small subunit ribosomal RNA", at positions 29 to 507 of the family's 1533-position model. The record is from RNAcentral.